GAUGAACGCUGGCGGCGUGCCUAACACAUGCAAGUCGAGCGAUUCUCUUCGGAGAAGAGCGGCGGACGGGUGAGUAACGCGUGGGUAACCUGCCCUGUACACACGGAUAACAUACCGAAAGGUAUGCUAAUACGAGAUAAUAUGCUUUUAUCGCAUGGUAGAAGUAUCAAAGCUUUUGCGGUACAAGAUGGACCCGCGUCUGAUUAGCUAGUUGGUAAGGUAACGGCUUACCAAGGCGACGAUCAGUAGCCGACCUGAGAGGGUGAUCGGCCACAUGGGAACUGAGACACGGUCCAAACUCCUACGGGAGGCAGCAGUGGGGAAUAUUGCACAAUGGGCGAAAGCCUGAUGCAGCAACGCCGCGGGAGCGAUGAAGGCCUUCGGGUCGUAAAGCUCUGUCCCCAAGGAAGAUAAUGACGGUACUUGAGGAGGAAGCCCCGGCUAACUACGUGCCAGCAGCCGCCGUAA
This 468-nucleotide ribosomal RNA is filed under the name uncultured bacterium. Its description in RNAcentral is "partial 16S ribosomal RNA". It matches the Rfam family "Bacterial small subunit ribosomal RNA", at positions 28 to 523 of the family's 1533-position model. The record is from RNAcentral.